RNAcentral lists this ribosomal RNA (466 nucleotides) under uncultured bacterium. Its description in RNAcentral is "partial 16S ribosomal RNA". It matches the Rfam family "Bacterial small subunit ribosomal RNA", at positions 28 to 505 of the family's 1533-position model. The record is from RNAcentral.
GACGAACGCUGGCGGCGUGCUUAACACAUGCAAGUCGAACGGAAAGGCCCUGCUUUUGUGGGGUGCUCGAGUGGCGAACGGGUGAGUAACACGUGAGUAACCUGCCCUUGACUUUGGGAUAACUUCAGGAAACUGGGGCUAAUACCGGAUAGGAGCUCCUGCUGCAUGGUGGGGGUUGGAAAGUUUCGGCGGUUGGGGAUGGACUCGCGGCUUAUCAGCUUGUUGGUGGGGUAGUGGCUUACCAAGGCUUUGACGGGUAGCCGGCCUGGGGGGGGGACCGGCCCCAGUGGGACGGGGGUGCCGCCCAGACCCCUGCGGGGGGCAGGAGGGGGAAAUUGUGCAAAAGGGGCGGAGGCCUGAAGGAGCACCGCCGCGUGGGGGAGGGCGGCUUUGGGGUUGUAACACGUUUGCCCGUGAGACGAAGCGUGUGGGCGGGUAAGGGGAAAAAAGCCACCGGCAACUUCCG